Molecule: ribosomal RNA, 1588 nt
Filed under: Acinetobacter seifertii
Lineage: Bacteria; Pseudomonadati; Pseudomonadota; Gammaproteobacteria; Moraxellales; Moraxellaceae
Description: bacterial SSU rRNA
Rfam family: Bacterial small subunit ribosomal RNA
Source: RNAcentral
GAUGAGCCAGAAUUGGCACCUUGUCUUUAAAUAAGGUGCAAAAUGAUUUUAACUGAAGAGUUUGAUCAUGGCUCAGAUUGAACGCUGGCGGCAGGCUUAACACAUGCAAGUCGAGCGGAGAGAGGUAGCUUGCUACUGAUCUUAGCGGCGGACGGGUGAGUAAUGCUUAGGAAUCUGCCUAUUAGUGGGGGACAACAUCUCGAAAGGGAUGCUAAUACCGCAUACGUCCUACGGGAGAAAGCAGGGGAUCUUCGGACCUUGCGCUAAUAGAUGAGCCUAAGUCGGAUUAGCUAGUUGGUGGGGUAAAGGCCUACCAAGGCGACGAUCUGUAGCGGGUCUGAGAGGAUGAUCCGCCACACUGGGACUGAGACACGGCCCAGACUCCUACGGGAGGCAGCAGUGGGGAAUAUUGGACAAUGGGGGGAACCCUGAUCCAGCCAUGCCGCGUGUGUGAAGAAGGCCUUAUGGUUGUAAAGCACUUUAAGCGAGGAGGAGGCUACUUUAGUUAAUACCUAGAGAUAGUGGACGUUACUCGCAGAAUAAGCACCGGCUAACUCUGUGCCAGCAGCCGCGGUAAUACAGAGGGUGCAAGCGUUAAUCGGAUUUACUGGGCGUAAAGCGCGCGUAGGCGGCUAAUUAAGUCAAAUGUGAAAUCCCCGAGCUUAACUUGGGAAUUGCAUUCGAUACUGGUUAGCUAGAGUGUGGGAGAGGAUGGUAGAAUUCCAGGUGUAGCGGUGAAAUGCGUAGAGAUCUGGAGGAAUACCGAUGGCGAAGGCAGCCAUCUGGCCUAACACUGACGCUGAGGUGCGAAAGCAUGGGGAGCAAACAGGAUUAGAUACCCUGGUAGUCCAUGCCGUAAACGAUGUCUACUAGCCGUUGGGGCCUUUGAGGCUUUAGUGGCGCAGCUAACGCGAUAAGUAGACCGCCUGGGGAGUACGGUCGCAAGACUAAAACUCAAAUGAAUUGACGGGGGCCCGCACAAGCGGUGGAGCAUGUGGUUUAAUUCGAUGCAACGCGAAGAACCUUACCUGGCCUUGACAUAGUAAGAACUUUCCAGAGAUGGAUUGGUGCCUUCGGGAACUUACAUACAGGUGCUGCAUGGCUGUCGUCAGCUCGUGUCGUGAGAUGUUGGGUUAAGUCCCGCAACGAGCGCAACCCUUUUCCUUAUUUGCCAGCGAGUAAUGUCGGGAACUUUAAGGAUACUGCCAGUGACAAACUGGAGGAAGGCGGGGACGACGUCAAGUCAUCAUGGCCCUUACGGCCAGGGCUACACACGUGCUACAAUGGUCGGUACAAAGGGUUGCUACACAGCGAUGUGAUGCUAAUCUCAAAAAGCCGAUCGUAGUCCGGAUUGGAGUCUGCAACUCGACUCCAUGAAGUCGGAAUCGCUAGUAAUCGCGGAUCAGAAUGCCGCGGUGAAUACGUUCCCGGGCCUUGUACACACCGCCCGUCACACCAUGGGAGUUUGUUGCACCAGAAGUAGCUAGCCUAACUGUAAAGAGGGCGGUUACCACGGUGUGGCCGAUGACUGGGGUGAAGUCGUAACAAGGUAGCCGUAGGGGAACCUGCGGCUGGAUCACCUCCUUAA